UGGCCCCUACGGGGGGCAGCAGUAGGGAAUCUUCCACAAUGGACGAAAGUCUGAUGGAGCAACGCCGCGUGAGUGAAGAAGGGUUUCGGCUCGGAAAGCUCUGUUGGUAGUGAAGAAAGAUAGAGGUAGUAACUGGCCUUUAUUUGACGGUAAUUACUUAGAAAGUCAAGGCUAACUACGUGCCAGCAGCCGCGGUAAUACGUAGGUGGCAAGCGGUGUCCGGAUUUAUUGGGCGUAAAGCG
RNAcentral lists this ribosomal RNA (242 nucleotides) under uncultured bacterium. RNAcentral's name for it is "partial 16S ribosomal RNA". It matches the Rfam family "Bacterial small subunit ribosomal RNA", at positions 333 to 567 of the family's 1533-position model. The record is from RNAcentral.